Molecule: ribosomal RNA, 503 nt
Filed under: uncultured Ambispora
Lineage: Eukaryota; Fungi; Glomeromycota; Glomeromycetes; Archaeosporales; Ambisporaceae
Description: SSU rRNA
Rfam family: Eukaryotic small subunit ribosomal RNA
Source: RNAcentral
AGCAGCCGCGGUAAUUCCAGCUCCAAUAGCGUAUAUUAAAGUUGUUGCAGUUAAAAAGCUCGUAGUUGAAUUUUGGGUCUGGCCGGGCGGUCCGCCCUCUGGGUGAGCACUGUUCCGACGCCGGGCCUAUCCUUCUGGUGAGUCGGCAUGUCCUUUAUUGGGUGUGCCGGGGAACCAGGACCAUUUACCUUGAAAAAAAUUAGAGUGUUCAAAGCAGGCGUAUGCUCGGAUACAUUAGCAUGGAAUAAUGAAAUAGGACGCGUGGUGCUAUUUUGUUGGUUUCUAGAACCGCCGUAAUGAUUAAUAGGGAUAGUUGGGGGCAUUAGUAUUCAAUUGUCAGAGGUGAAAUUCUUGGAUUUAUUGAAGACUAACUUCUGCGAAAGCAUUUGCCAAAGGAUGUUUUCAUUAAUCAAGAACGAAAAGUUAGGGGAUCGAAGACGAUCAGAUACCGUCGUAGUCUUAACCAUAAACUAUGCCGACUAGGAAUCGGGCGAUGUUAUUCU